This 305-nucleotide small nuclear RNA is filed under the name Castor canadensis (American beaver). RNAcentral describes it as "7SK RNA (ENSCCNG00000014449.1)". It matches the Rfam family "7SK RNA". Rfam says of the family: 7SK was discovered as an abundant small nuclear RNA in the mid-70s but a possible function has only recently been suggested. Two independent studies have found that 7SK RNA binds the CDK9/cyclin T complex (known as elongation factor P-TEFb). Lineage: Eukaryota; Metazoa; Chordata; Mammalia; Rodentia; Castoridae. The record is from Rfam by way of RNAcentral.
GGAUGUGAGGGAAAUCUGGCUGUGACAUCUGUCACCCUAUUGAUCACCAGGGUUAAUUUGGCUCAUCUAACUGGUUGGUGGGUGUUCCCUUCCUCCAUGUACAUCCCUCUGGAACCUGUGCGUUCAGGUCAAAAAAAGAUGAUCUUUAAUAGAGAAGGACUGUCCUUCAGUCAAGGGUAUAUUGAGUAGCUGCGCAUUUCUGCUAGAACCUCCAAACAAGUUCUCAAGAAACAUUAGUCUUCUUGGCUAAUGAGAAAAUAAUUUAAAUUUUUUUCAACACCUAGCCUUAAAAUACAAGGCAAAGG